AAGCUGACCAGUGGCAGAAACAUUUCCAAGAACAUGAAUGAGACGUUACGUGCCCGUAGGACAACUCCCCGCUUCUCAGUAAUCUCCUUACAAACUGCAGCUCCAUGCUUCGGUGGGAGUGACCUUCAGAACCAUACAGUGUGGACCUUCCGCCAUGUCGGCAGCUGCUGAGGUUCAGAG
Molecule: long non-coding RNA, 180 nt
Organism: Schistocerca piceifrons (Central American locust)
Lineage: Eukaryota; Metazoa; Arthropoda; Insecta; Orthoptera; Acrididae
Exons: 3
Source: RefSeq, a predicted model, not a curated record